UGGGGAAUAUUGGACAAUGGGCGCAAGCCUGAUCCAGCCAUGCCGCGUGGAUGAAGAAGGCCCUAGGGUUGUAAAGUCCUUUCGACGGAGACGAUAAUGACGGUAUCCGUAGAAGAAGCCCCGGCUAAUUUCGUGCCAGCAGCCGCGGUAAUACGAAAGGGGCUAGCGUUGUUCGGAAUUACUGGGCGUAAAGCGCACGUAGGCGGUCGUGUAAGAUGGGGGUGAAAUCCCGGGGCUCAACUCCGGAACUGCCUUCAUGACUGCAUGGCUAGAGGAUGCGAGAGGUUGGCGGAAUUCCGAGUGUAGAGGUGAAAUUCGUAGAUAUUCGGAAGAACACCAGUGGCGAAGGCGGCCAACUGGCGCAUUUCUGACGCUGAGGUGCGAAAGCGUGGGGAGCAAACAGG
RNAcentral lists this ribosomal RNA (404 nucleotides) under uncultured bacterium. RNAcentral's name for it is "bacterial SSU rRNA". It matches the Rfam family "Bacterial small subunit ribosomal RNA", at positions 355 to 776 of the family's 1533-position model. The record is from RNAcentral.